Molecule: transfer RNA, 69 nt
Filed under: Podarcis lilfordi (Lilford's wall lizard)
Lineage: Eukaryota; Metazoa; Chordata; Lepidosauria; Squamata; Lacertidae
Description: tRNA.Ala
Source: RNAcentral
GCCAUAGCUCAGUGGUAGAGCAUUUGCUUAGCAUGAAGAAGGUCCCAGGUUCAAUACCAGGUAUCUCUA